CUGCCAAUCUUGCUGUUUACUUAAGCGGUUAUUUAUUUAUUUCUCCCGCUGCCGGUCUGAGCACUUCUUGAUAACUUCACCGCCUCUUCACCCGCUUAGAGGACCCCAUAAGGAGAGCCCCAGCCUUGAGGAGCAGGCAGGAAGGUGUGAGGAGGCCAACAGACGGAGGGGGAUGCCCUUGCUGAGGCUCAAGAGGUGGCCAGGCCUUACCACACAGGCCCAUGCAGGGAGGGCAGGCAGAGGGGCUGCAGGCCGGCGAGGGAGUCUAGGAGUCUGAACGCUCUGCCUCCUGGAGGAACUGCAAACAGCUGCGAGAAGACAGACCCCCAGGGAGCGGGUGCUGCUGGCCUGGAGCGGCUGGAGGCCUCCUUCAGGCCGUUCAGGGCAACUGGGGCCGGGCUGCUGAGCUUCCUGG
Marmota flaviventris (yellow-bellied marmot) is the source of this 415-nucleotide long non-coding RNA. RefSeq lists it as uncharacterized. The record is from RefSeq and is a predicted model, not a curated record. NCBI's taxonomy places the organism in Eukaryota, Metazoa, Chordata, Mammalia, Rodentia, Sciuridae.